Molecule: ribosomal RNA, 364 nt
Filed under: uncultured Enterobacter sp.
Lineage: Bacteria; Pseudomonadati; Pseudomonadota; Gammaproteobacteria; Enterobacterales; Enterobacteriaceae
Description: bacterial SSU rRNA
Rfam family: Bacterial small subunit ribosomal RNA
Source: RNAcentral
UGCGGCACGCCAUACAUAAUCAAGUGAACGGAUACAGGAAGCAGCUUGCUGCUUUGCUGACGAGACGGGUAGUAAUGUCUGGGAAACUGCCUGAUUGAGGGGGAUAACUACUGGAAACGGUAGCUAAUACCGCAUAACGUCGCAAGACCAAAGAGGGGGACCUUCGGGCCUCUUGCCAUCGGAUGUGCCCAGAUUGGAUUAGCUAGUAUGUGGGGUAACGGCUCACCUAGGCGACGAUCCCUAGCUGGUCUGAGAGGAUGACCAGCCACACUGGAACUGAGACAGGUCCAACUCCUACGGAUGCAGCGUGGGGAUAUCGACACUGGGCGCCAGCUCCUGCACCAUGCCGCAUCUAUGAAGAAGG